GUCCCAGUAGCGCAAUGGAUAGCGCUUUGGGCUCCAAAUCCAAAGACAGAGGGUUCACAUCCCUCCUGGUAUG
Molecule: non-coding RNA, 73 nt
Organism: Trichonephila inaurata madagascariensis
Lineage: Eukaryota; Metazoa; Arthropoda; Arachnida; Araneae; Nephilidae
Source: the annotation of a GenBank genome assembly